GCAAAUGUAGUUUAACAAAAACAUUAGAUUGUGAAUCUAAAUAUAGAAGUUCAAACCUUCUUAUAUGCC
Transfer RNA from Monodelphis domestica (gray short-tailed opossum), 69 nucleotides. It matches the Rfam family "tRNA". From Rfam's summary of the family: Transfer RNA (tRNA) molecules are approximately 80 nucleotides in length. Their secondary structure includes four short double-helical elements and three loops (D, anti-codon, and T loops). The record is from Rfam. NCBI's taxonomy places the organism in Eukaryota, Metazoa, Chordata, Mammalia, Didelphimorphia, Didelphidae.